RNAcentral lists this ribosomal RNA (467 nucleotides) under uncultured bacterium. RNAcentral's name for it is "partial 16S ribosomal RNA". It matches the Rfam family "Bacterial small subunit ribosomal RNA", at positions 28 to 506 of the family's 1533-position model. The record is from RNAcentral.
GACGAACGCUGGCGGCGUGCUUAACACAUGCAAGUCGAACGGAAAGGCCCUGCUUUUGUGGGGUGCUCGAUUGGCGAACGGGUGAGUAACACGUGAGUAUCCUGUCCUUGACUUUGGGAUAACUUCAGGAAACUGCGGCUAAUAUCGCAUAGGAGCUCCUACAGCAUGUGGGGGGUUGGAAAGUUUCGGCGGUUGUGGAUGGACUAGCGGCUUAUCAGCUUGUUGGUGGGGUAGUGGCGUACCAAGGCUUUGACGGGUAGCCGGCCUGACAGGGUGACCGGCCACAGUGGGACUGGGGUGCGGCCCAGAGUCAUACGGGAGGAAGGAGUGGAGAAUAGUGCACAAAGGGCGGAAGGCUGAAGGAGCAACGCCGCGUGCGAGAUGACGGCCUUUGGGUUGUAAACAGCUUGCGCCUGAGAAGGAGCGUGAGUAACGGUAAUGGGUAAAGAAGCACCGGCUAACUACGU